Molecule: long non-coding RNA, 1085 nt
Filed under: Lathyrus oleraceus (garden pea)
Lineage: Eukaryota; Viridiplantae; Streptophyta; Magnoliopsida; Fabales; Fabaceae
Description: Pisum sativum (pea) long non-coding RNA (PSAT_LNC017010)
Source: RNAcentral
GGAAACAUACCUGAAGGCGAAAAAAUUAGAAGUAUUGAGAGACUCGAUGUCUUUCAUGGAUGGGUGCGAGUAAAAAAUGAUAAAGAUGUUAGGGAAGUGAUGUUUAGAUCAAAUGAUAUCAGUUUGAUUGUUAUAAUCAAUUAGAAAUGUUGUUUUUAAAUGUUGUAGUUAAGUAUUUUUAUCUGUUUUGAUAUCUAUUAUUUGUGCUGUUUAUUCAGACCUGUUUGGUUUUAAGUGUGUUUAAGUUGGAGUGAUGUUUGUGCCAGACCGCUUACUCACAACCCCUUAUCCAUCAAAAUUUUCGGUUCACAGACAAACAAACCUACGACCUUAACAUGUCAAACACCCAACCACAAUACCAAGAGCAUACCCCGUACCACCACCAACAAGAAGAUCAUCAUCAAGACACCCAACAUCGCUAUGCACCUAACACAUAACCCAACCAUAGAUGUCUUAGCCAAAACACUCAUCAAUCAUUUAACACCAACCGUCUUUCCUCAUACUAUAACCAAGAAGCUCAGCCAUCAUAAAACCAAAACAUGCAACAACCAUAUGGCUACCAAACACCACAACAAUCAUUUCAACAUUUCCUCGACACAUCAUUCCCACCAAUGUCUCCCUUCAAUCGUUCUGGUCGCCCUCCAAUAACUCAAACACAAUCCAACUACUCUGGGAUGGGUCGCGAAAUCAGCUAUGGCGGUAGCGCUUCAUUGCAGGACUACCUGAAUUUGUCUGAAUAUCGUAGACAAUCUCCUGCAGGUGGUGGUGAUGUUUUCGGGCCCUCAAAUCCUCAAACAUCUGGGGUGAAUCAUCAAUGUGGGUUAGGGUCACGCGUUCUGGUAGCUAGGGGAUGUGGUAUCAGAGGUCGGUUAGGUCAUACUGGUCAACGAACUUAGUCUUUUUAGUUAUCGUAUGUAAACACAUAUUAAUAUUAAUAUCAAUUGGUCUGAUUUCGACUUUUAUCUAAAAUGUAUAUUUUUAAAAAAAAUUGUACAUCACACAUAAGUGUCAGGCCAAUUGGCGUAUCCUUUAAAAUUUAACACACAAGCGCCAAUUGAAUUGACAGCACUAGGUGCAUAAGUCAA